GGUUCCAUAGAGUAGUGGUUAGCACGUCUGCUUUACACAUAGAAGGUCUUGGGUUCGAGUCCCAGCAGAGCCA
This 73-nucleotide transfer RNA is filed under the name Pteropus alecto (black flying fox). It matches the Rfam family "tRNA". Rfam says of the family: Transfer RNA (tRNA) molecules are approximately 80 nucleotides in length. Their secondary structure includes four short double-helical elements and three loops (D, anti-codon, and T loops). The record is from Rfam by way of RNAcentral. Lineage: Eukaryota; Metazoa; Chordata; Mammalia; Chiroptera; Pteropodidae.